AGAGGGAGGGGGAGGAUUGUUUUACAUGCACACAUGCAUGUUUGCGUCCUUACACUGCCAUGUGGGGCCGUGUUGCCAAGGGCGAAUGGUUACAAAGGUCGACUUAAGGAUACAGACGGGAAACAGCUGAAGAACCAAGCCAACAUGUGCAAGAGGCCUCAAUGAGUCGCAAAUGAAAGCCGAACACAAGAUUGUGGUCAUGCAACGAAAGCGAGACGACAGCCCAGCAGCCCAGCAGCCCACCAGGAGCGUCUGGCCAAGCGGCCCUGCACCACCUCUGGCUCUCAAGCGUGGAGGUGAGGAACCAUCCCAGCCGGAGGUACAUGCUGCCCAGGCAGAAAGGAGCACCAGCCUCCAGCCGUCCACCUCUGGCUCUCAGCAUUACCCUCUAGAGCCACAGAUAAGUAACAUCCCCCCGCUGUCCACCUCAGACUCAGAUUCAGAAUAUGAUUCAGACUAUGAUUCAGAUUCUGAUGUAGAGGUAGAUUUAGAUGUGGAUUCAGAUUCUGACUGAUUUCCAGGAUGAGAGGAGCUCCAGCCCCCCGGUGUCCAACUCUGCUGUGCAGGUGUACCAGCGAGCGAGGGCUUCCCAGCGAUUCUCCACCCCAGGGGAGGUAGCCCAAGGCCAGCCAGGGACGAGCUCCGGACCUGAGCCCUCCCCCCGCCCGGCAUGCGGAAUGCCAGGCAGCUAGAGCUAGUGGAGCCAAUCAGUCUGUUCAGCUACGGAGGUGUUCGGGUCGAGGAAACAGGGAGUCUACCCAUCGUGCACGUCCCGUCUUGAUUUUCACUCUCCGAUGCUGUGGAGGUACUGUGAUUGGUUUGGGCGCUUUGGGCUGCUUCUCCUUACAAACCUGAGAUGUAACCUUCCUCUCAGUGUCUAGCUGACUCUAUAAGUCAAGGAUUUCUGAAUCUUUCUGUACAGCUCUUUAUUUUCCUCCUUUCAAAAAACAAAAAAAGAACGAAAAAAACUUUACUAUAUAGAAACAGUAGUGGUAAGGUUAGGACUCUAUAAGUUAAGGAUUUCUAAAUAUUUCUGUACAGCUCUUUAUUUUCCUCCUUUCAAAAAAACAAAAGACCCAAAAAAAAACCUUUACCUUGUAGAAAUAGUAGUGGUUAGGUUAGGACUCUGUAAGUUAAGGAUUUCUAAAUCUUUCUGUACAGCUCUUCAUUUUCCUCCUUUCAAAAAACAAAAAAAGGCCAAAAAAAAACCAACAACAUUCUAUGUAGAUACACUUAAGAUAUGUUUAGGAUUCUUGAGUAUUCUGCUUGUAGUUUAAGUAUUUCUAAAGCUUUUGUACCGCUACUUGUUUUCUUGCUUUCAAAAAAACAGAUGUUUUUGUAAAGUUUGAAAACAGAUGGAAAGGGCCUUGAAGAGGGUCUUCAGAAAUGUUCCAUUAAAGCUGUGUUUAAUUGUAUUAUAUUGACUGAUGCACAGAAAGAGAAAUUCUUCCAUAAUCCUCUUUUACAAUAUCUAUUUUAUUGUUUCUGUCUCCAUUUAUGAUAUAAAGGGACAUUAAAUUUAAAAAUAACAAUUCAUAGACCAGUUUAUGCUGUUGUUAUAUUUGCAUGGAACAUUUCCAAAGGGUCAGGGAUCCUCUGCUGCUGCACUGAACACGUAACAUAUGGCGGAUUGUUUGCUUUUUUCAUGUGUGUGGCUACACAUGUAGCACAUUUAGGGAUUGCUGUGUUUUUAGUUUCUGGACCCAGCACAGCUCUGUGAAAUUUGAAGUUGUUGACUGAAAUAUCUGUUUGAUGCAAACAGAUAUUUCCCCUAUUCAUGAGCCAUUUUGGUAUAAAUUUUGUAUAAAAUGUGUUUGCACACCUUAUGCAAAAAAAAUCUGCAUAUGUUUCAGGUUCAGUGCAGCAACAGAGACAGGGUAGGGUGGACCCUCUUCAAGCCCUUCACCUCUGUUGUCAUUGUAACUGUUGGGUAUUCAGCAAAAGAAUUAAAGUACAUAUCUGAGGAGAUUGUAAAAGAAGGAGAUGACUUUAGGAGGGCCUUCGGGAAAUGCUCCAUCCAAAUAAUUGUUAUUAUUAUUAUUAUUAUUAUUAUUAUUAUUAUUAUUAUUAUUAUUAUUAUUAUUAUUAUUAUUAUUAUUAUUGUUGUUGUUGUUGUUGUUGUUGUUGUUGUUGUUGUUGUUAUUGUAAUUCUUCCAGUGACAUUCACAACAUCAUAUUGACUUGUUACAUCUCACUGUAUUAACUGGUGAGAUCUUGAAACUAUUCUAAAACUACAGUCCAGUGUUUGAACACAAUUUACUGCCUAAUCAAAAAGAUCAGACAGUCAUAUUAUUAUGGAGCAUUUCCAAAGGGUCGAGGUUAGGGAGGGUCAGACCCUCCUAGAGUCUUUAUCCUCUUUUACAAAUGUUUCUGUUUGAUGUCAUUAUUGUUAACAAGUCUUUUCUUUAGUUGAUUGCAAUUUUUGUCAUAAAAUCUACCAUAAAAAUGUCUAAAUUCUUCCGACAAGAACAAACAAAUCGUUUCAUCCAUCAACUCAAAAAAGUCAUUUUAAAAGUAUUUUGAAAAAUAACUGGAAAGAGCUUUAAGAGGGUCUUCAGAAAUGUUCCUUUCAAAUCUGUUUACAUCUUUGUAAAACUUAAUAUGAUGACUCAAAAACAGCAGAAGAAAUUCUUCUGUAACUUUAAUAUACAAUGUCUAUUUUUAAUUUUACUUCUUGAUUUAUGACAUUUUUAGAAAAAUGACCUGAAUUUAUUGAGCAGUUUUCGGUCAUUAUUGUUUGUGAUACUUGAAUGGAACAUUUCCAAAGGGUGGAGGUUAGGGAGGGUCAGACCCUCCUGAAGCUCUUUACCUCUGAUACUCAUGUCAGUAUUACAUAUCAUCACUAUUAAUGGUGACUUUUCCUUCUGUUGUUUUAAUAUCUUCAAGGAAAAUUCAUUCAGAUCCUAGAAAACAGAGCAAAGUUUAAAAUGUUCCUCAGUAAUUGUAACAAUUUGUUUCUGUGAAUAUUCAGCAAGGGAAUUAAAGUACAUAUUUGAAGAGAUUGUAAAAGCAGGAGAUGACUUUGGGAGGGUCUUCAGGAAGUGCUCCAUCCAAAUUAUUAUUAUUAUUAUUAUUGUCAUUAUUAUUGUAAUUCUUUCAGUCACGUUCAUAAUAUCAUGUUGACUUGUUACAUCUCAGCACAUUAACUGGUGAGAUCUUGAAACUGUUCUCAAACUACAGUCCAGUGUUUGAACACAAUUUACUGCCUAAUCAAAAAGAUCAGACAGUCAUAUUAUUAUGGAGCAUUUCCAAAGGGUCGAGGUUAGGGAGGGUCAGACCCUCCUGGAGUCUUUUUCCUCUUUUACAAAUGUUUCUGUUUGAAGUCAUUAUUGUUGAUAAGUCUUUUCUUGUAAUUGAUCAUAACUUUUGUUGGAAAUCCUCAAAGAAAAAAGAUCUAAAUUCUUCACAAAAAAACAAAAGCAAAAACAAAAAAACGAACAAAUGAACAGAUUGUUCUUGUGCGUUUGAUAAAACUGCACCUCUCCUGCUUCUCCAGUCAUUCAGUUGAGUAUUCUUCUUCUAGUGACUUAGAGAUUCCUAUUUUCCUGACUGUUUGUGUUCUCCUGUGUAGAAACUGUGUUCCUCGCAACUAACUCUGUCCUCCUGAGCUCCAGUGUUUCAUGUGCUCAGCCUUCAGCUCUACCUUGGUCACUCCAGCUGUCCACCACCAAACCAGCCAGUCGUCAACCUCCACUGAACUUUCUGACUUUUGUUCAAAUAAAUCACUCUUUUUACUUUACACCCCUCUAUGUUCUCUUGUCCAACUAAACUAAUGUACAUAUUUUGAUAACAAGACUGUUGAAGCAAGAGAUGGAAGUGCUCAACUAAAUGUUUUCAUUGUUGAGUGUGUCAGUGCAAAAGCAUUGAAACACACUGAUUAGAUUGAUUACUGCUCCUCAAGAUUAUUCUUACAGAUUGUUCUGACAUGAUUUUCAGCAGGGAUCUCAUCCCACAGUGUUGAGAAAGCUCAUACAAAUUAAAUAUCAAUGGUAUAUGGUGCUUUUCCUUCAGUUAGGGUUUGUGAAAUAUGCUGGUUUUUCAAAAUAAAAUGUACUUAUUUAAAUUAUA
Long non-coding RNA from Amphiprion ocellaris (clown anemonefish), 4068 nucleotides. RefSeq lists it as uncharacterized. The record is from RefSeq and is a predicted model, not a curated record. The transcript has 5 exons. NCBI's taxonomy places the organism in Eukaryota, Metazoa, Chordata, Actinopteri, Pomacentridae.